Long non-coding RNA from Xenopus laevis (African clawed frog), 989 nucleotides. RefSeq lists it as uncharacterized. The record is from RefSeq and is a predicted model, not a curated record. The transcript has 5 exons. NCBI's taxonomy places the organism in Eukaryota, Metazoa, Chordata, Amphibia, Anura, Pipidae.
UGGUUUCCAUAGCAACAGUGGGCAGUACGGCUGACUUUUUCGCGCACACUUCCGCUCCGGCGCUUUAAACACGUGGGUGCCAUGCCGGAAGUCCGUGUCUGAAAUCCUGCUGCUGAAGAUGAAUGAUGUUGUAAACAGCUUUUAGAUGCAUCAUGCACAGGCUACACGAUAAUGGACCAGCAGAAAGCGGGCAGAUACAAUGGGAAGAGCUGGUGGAGAAUCUUGGGAACAUCCCACCAUUGUUGCUUCAGAACGUAACCACGUCCCUGACUAUCACAGUCUGACUCAUCAAGAAAUUUUGCAUCAUCUGUACACAGAAACCAUUUCGCAGGACUUGAGGUCCUGCAUGUUACGCCAGGAGGACGAUAUUCAGCCUGUGGUUGAAAAAAAAGAGAUUCUUAUAUGAUCAAUGAAAUAUUCUGUGAAUAUAUCAGCAAAGAAUAUGAAGACGAGCUGUAUGUGGCACAAAAGAAGAAACGAGAACUAAAGCAAAAAUUUAAUUUUUCAAAAAAAAGAAGAAGGAGGCGGCUCCUGAGUGCCUCUGACUGGGGCCGAAUCUCCGCAUUCAAACCCUGCGUUAGUUCCCUUGAUUCUGUGCUUGUGUUUUACAGGGAUGUAAUACAGAAGCAGUGCCAAGUUUGCAGCACGGGUCUGCUUUAUUUUCUGAGACCAGCAUUGCCUGUCCGGCCGACAACAUUUUAUUUUAUCUACACUGACUGGACACAUUUUAGGAGGCAAAUAAAUCAUACACGUUAUACAUUUCCUACUGGAUCCUCACCAUUCACCCCUACAAAUAUACUUCUCCCUUAAAGGGAAAAUUAACCACCCCCCUUAUUUCACAUGAGUUUAGUUAUGUAGGAAAGGUGUUCUUGCUAGGAACAUGGGUUUAAAAGAGAAGGAAAGCUACUGAGGCAUUUUAUUGCCAAUAGAUUAGCUGCAAUAGUGCAAGCUGGAAUGCUAUAUUUAUUCUGUAGAAUGCUUUACCAUAU